CAGUGCUGCCAAGGCUAUUUUCUCUCCAGCUGUGAGAGUGGCUUUUUAAAAUGACUCACAAAAGCUGCUAGCCAGCUGCUUCACCUCAGCCUUCACAAGGGCUCUGCAUUCUAAACAGCGGUAGGGCUGACUUACUUCAGAAGGGCUCGUUUAUUUGGACGUUGCAGAUGUAUUCUGCACACAACCGACGAUCCUAAAGAGACCUCCGUUCAGGCAGGAAAUGGCAUCUGAUGUGAUACAACUGUUUCCAUGCCCGCUCAGUGCAGUUCAUCUUGUUUGCUGGAUUAGGCUCAGGAGGGAGGCAAGAAAAUCUGCUGAAACAUCCUCCCAGGAGCCAAAUGAAGGGGUGAAGAAAUAAACAGCAACUAACAGCUUUGAUCAUUCACAGCCAGAGAUCCAUUCAGUCUAGAAUGUAUCCUCACAUGAGAUCCUGAAAAGGAAUUCCAUACGCUGAGGGGCUAACAGCCCUGCAUGUAAUGAUCUCCAAAAGUCUGAGCCCUUGCAAUGCAUGCAGCCCAGGGCUGUGGAGUCUCUUGAGUUUUGGGAAGAUCACUGACUGAUUUAAGACUGUGCGGGACCUGCUCCGCCUUCUACUGACAGUCCUAAGGCUGUCACAAGUCUCCACCUUACCCACCUGCAGCUGAGCCAGCUCCUCCUCUGCGCUGUCAAUGGGACAUCUGGCUACAAAAGAGACAGCUCACUGAAGAUGAGAGCACAUUGCUGAGAUUCUUUUGCAUGGCCUGCACUUCGUGGUUCACCACCUGGCCACACUGUGACGGGCUGUACGCCCAUAUUCACCCCGUGCUUACUGUUAUAAUAAUCUUUGUACAAAGUAUGCCUUGUGAGGUAUCAUUUGAAAAUGCAUAAUUCACAGGUCCUGAUACUAUAUGUGUGGCGACAUUGUGUGUAAAGUUAUAAGAUUCCAUUGUGUGGUGUUUCUAAGACAUAUAUUAAGCUUGGGGAGCAGCCAAACCAGUUCCUCACUGAAGGAGGUCAAGGUCAAAUGGGCCAUCACCUGCUAAGUGGCUAUUCACUGGCAGCAAAGGGAACAUGGGUGAAAAAUCUACAUCUUAGAAAAGAAACAGCAUUACGUUCCCAUCCACACAUUCUGAUUGUCACCAAGUUCCCAGUAGGAGAUGCUUCUCAAAAGAGGGAGAAGACUAUAAAAUAGACGGCCAGACGCACCCAAAGGAUUCCUUCCUUUUUUCUGGCCACGGCAUUCACAAUAGCUGAAGAACAAAGGAAGCAGCACUGGACGGGGGGAGGGAUCCUGACUGAAAGAAAUUCAGCCAGUAAAACUACUGAAACAUGUGGUCAGAGAGACUUUGCUUUGAAUUUGCCCUAAUUUGUUAAGUUAGACAUUACUUGUGUUUUACCUUUAUUUUUCUGGUAACCAAUUCUGACUUUUAUGCCUCAUUACUUGUGUUCACUUAAAAUCUCUCUCUUUGUAGUUAAUAAACUUGUUUUACUUUUUUAUCUAA
Caretta caretta (loggerhead turtle) is the source of this 1481-nucleotide long non-coding RNA. RefSeq lists it as uncharacterized. Lineage: Eukaryota; Metazoa; Chordata; Testudines; Cheloniidae. The record is from RefSeq and is a predicted model, not a curated record.